UACGGAGGAUGCGAGCGUUAUCCGGAUUUAUUGGGUUUAAAGGGUGCGUAGGCGGCUUUUUUAAGUCAGCGGUGAAAUUUUGCAGCUUAACUGUAACAGUGCCGUUGAUACUGGGGAGCUAGGAUUUGGUUGCUGUGGGUGGAAUGUGUGGUGUAGCGGUGAAAUGCUUAGAUAUCACUAGGAACUCCGAUUGCGCAGGCAGCUUACUAAACCACUACUGGCGCUCAGGCACGAAGGCGUGGGGAUCAAACAGGAUUAGAUACCCCGGUA
Molecule: ribosomal RNA, 270 nt
Filed under: uncultured prokaryote
Description: partial 16S ribosomal RNA
Rfam family: Bacterial small subunit ribosomal RNA
Source: RNAcentral